UAAAUUUACGGACUGAUUAGCGACUGACUUGCGACCAAAAAAUAAUCAGUAGCUAAAGAGUCGUUAAGUAAGGACUACGGAGUAACGUCGCACUUUAGUUGUAAAUUAGCGACUAAAGUGUAACUAAUAUGUAGUCGGUAAAUUACAGUCGGCAAUUGGUCGCUAAUUUAGCGACUGAUUACCGACUGAAUAUGUGGGUGGAAAAACAAUCGCUUUUCAGUCUUUAAAAAUCGGUAUAAAACACGUGAAUGUCGUUUUGGAGGUAUGUAUACCAAAUAUAUACGAUUGAAUAUAUCAGUCGCAAAAUCAGUCGGAAAUUAGUCGAAAAUUAGUCAGAAAUCAGUCGGAAAAUGUUACCAUAAACAUAGAUCUCAUACCCUAAACCCUAAAAAUGGUUUUAAACUCCAAAUUUUAAAUAUAAACCUUAAAACUAUAAACUUUUCACACUUUAAAUCUUAAUCUAAACCCUAAACAACAUUUCUCAAAAUCCUAUAUUAUAAAUACAAACUCCAAUUAUAAUAUUUUAAAACCUAAACUCCAAAACUUAGAUAUAAAGUUUAACAUCAAAUCUUAGAUCUAUAACCCAAAUACUAUACACCAAACUCUAAUCUCUAAACCUAAACCAUAUUCUCCAAAUCACAAAUAGCAAAUCUUGAAUUUCAAAUUUAAAUACAAAUCUUAUAUUAUAAAACACUAAACCAUAUACUCCAAAUACUAUAAAGUAAUCUUAAACUUAAAAAUUGUUCUUUUAAUAAUUGAUCUCAAACCUUAAAAUUUAAUUCUUCACACAACCAACUCUAAUAUUUCAUACUCUAAUAUCUAAUCCUAAACUUAAACUAAAAAUGGAUUUUGAAAUUAAAUUUUAAAUUU
This 870-nucleotide long non-coding RNA is filed under the name Brassica napus (rape). RNAcentral describes it as "long non-coding RNA (BNAP_LNC026574)". Lineage: Eukaryota; Viridiplantae; Streptophyta; Magnoliopsida; Brassicales; Brassicaceae. The record is from RNAcentral.